Molecule: long non-coding RNA, 2428 nt
Organism: Numida meleagris (helmeted guineafowl)
Lineage: Eukaryota; Metazoa; Chordata; Aves; Galliformes; Numididae
Exons: 3
Source: RefSeq, a predicted model, not a curated record
ACAAAAAAAAAAAGAGUUUAUGCGUAAACAAAGCUCUGCAGAAAAGAGCAGUUGCCACUAUCCACAAUUUUCUCUGUCCACCUGCUUUUAAACACUGCCCUCAGUCCUAGAAGGAGCUCAGUGCUAGAGACACAUUAGCACUUGAGGAAGUCACAACUUUAGGAUCUUAAAUAAAUCUGACUGAAGUCAAUAAGAGCUUCAUGUUAAACCUGCACUUUUCUUGGAUAAGAAUCACAGCACUUAGCAGCUAACAGGACUGACAUCUACUUCUUCACCACUUGCAUAACUGCCAACAAGUAUUCAGCAUUACAUAAUGAGAAAGGAGGUGAACAGAACAAAGUACUUCUGAAACAUGACUCAUGGUUCAGUUUCUAUCUUAUAUGCAGUCACAAAAAAGAGGCAGGAAGAACGAAAGGUCACAUUUAGUUGGGAUUUUUCCCCUCUUAUUCACAACGUUUCCCUACACUGCCUCAAACCAGUCCAUAUUCCUAGCUCAGAAAAGGAGCAUCUCUCUCCUUAGAUCCCUCUGUAGAAACAGCAAAAUCUUUUGUAGAGAUGGAGUGCUGGUAAAACUGCUUUAACCCAUAGCCUUUGCAAUCUUUACUCGAACAAUGAUAUUAAAAUUUGGGAGAGAGAUUUUCCUUUUUAUUCUGUUUCUUACCUUUGUAUUUCCUCCUUCUCUUGUAUUCUCCAUUUUCUGGCUUUAGAGAGUUGAUGAAGCCAGGCCUUUGGGAACAGAGAGUGACCUGGCACUUCCCUAAUGGUCUAUCAAAGCUCUCUUUCUGCUAACAUGUUUCAUAUUUAUAUUCUCGGCAUAAGGUCAUGACAGUAAGUUCCAAGCAGCAAAAUUCCUACAUGCUUCUAUGGUACAGUAUGAGGCUACGAACCAACAUCUACAAUAAAGCCAAUGCUUAGUCACUUGUUUCUGUUAUCAGUGACUUCGAUCUAGAGCCUGAGGGAGUCACUGCAGCCAGGUCUAACAAGGCUGGUUCAUAUUAAGCAAGGUUCUUGGUUACACAACUCACCAUUAGUUCUUCCACAGUUUCUCUCCCCUGACUGUGUUACUUCUCUUUUAUAGGCAUAUUCAAAAGAUCAUGCCCAAGAGCUGCUCUGGAAAACUGACCUCCACGUGCUCCAUAAUUGGGGUAUUUUUUUCCUCUUGAAAACCAUCUAAGUUUUGACAACUAAUGGUAUAGAAGACUUAAUUACAUUUCUCUAGUUUAUAAUGAGGAUUCGAUUACUCCAGUAACCGGUUUGGCUUUGCCUAGAUCUGACUACAAGUAGUAAGAGGUUAGUAGGCUGAGCUAGGUGUUCCCUGGAACACACUUCUCUUCUGCACUGUUCCACAGGAGAAGCAUUACAGCUGGCAUGUCAUUAAAUCAGAACAGACCUCAAUUACGGGUUUGUAGCUAUUAGCUUGGUCCAAAUUGAUAGUGUUAGCUAUGGUUUUAUGAAGGGUGAAGCAGCCUAAACAGAAGCAAUUUUUGAUGACAGCAAAAAGCAAACAAUUGUACUAAAAAAAAAAAAAGAAAUGUAUCCCUGGAAGCUUGAUGAGUCACAACUUUCCUGUUUAUCAGCAGAAGUCUAGUGUCUGAUUACAGACCCUUCCGGGCCUGCUUUGUACCUGCACAGAGAUCAUCCAGAAAGGUUACAAGACACUCUGUGCACAAAUUGGAAGUUACUGUCAAACAGAGGUCAUAGAAAUUGAAGUAUCCAAGAGACCAUUUGAUCCUAGGAUUGAUACUACACUGGACAAGAAAAGGCAAUAGUGCCAAAGCUGAUCUUAGACUUUAAAAUGCUCAGACUCCAGGGAAAAGGCUAACUUCUCAUCAAAAAAGGACCAAAUUCCGUUCAAGGAAUUCAGUACAUAACUCUGUACCACAGCAAAGCAGAAGGAUUUGCAUGCAGCUGGUGUUGUCACAGUAGGCUUCUACUGUACCUUUUAUGGGGACAAAUUCCGUCACCACCACAACAGUCCCCUUCCCCUAUGAAAGUUCAGGCCCAGUUCAGGCCCCAGCACUAAUGCGCUGUUACUGUCCUGCAGAAAGACAUAUCCAGCUGCUAGUCCUUGUCUGGGAAGAUGAGCAUAUCUUCCUGCAGACAAUUGCCCCUCAUGCUAUCCACCAGACAAUGUUUCUGCAAGGUUUCUCACAGCAAUGUCUGAUUAAUGCUGGGAUCGUGGACAAGGCCAGUUUGGAAAACGGCGCAGUUCUGCGAGCAACAGCUGCAGUGCCAGGCCAGAAGUUUACCUCACAGAAUGCAGCUGAGCCCUGGGGAUCAUCAAGACCAACUCCCACAUCAGUGGAAACAGACACUGAAAAUUUGAGAUAAAAAAGGCAAGAACACCGCGUCUUUAAUGAGAGCAUAGCCACUAACCGUCAUACGCGAUGGGAAGCCAUGAGGGUUCAUUAUGAUAUCUGGACAGAUC